UGCUUCGUGGGGACAAUUUGCGUGUAACCUAAGUAUGAAUUCUGGGAUUUGGCUUGCUACCAAAAGACAGCACAAGGUAGAAAAAAUCUGUUCGUUACCUGGCUGGGAAGUUUAUGGUCAGACAGAGCAGUGUUUCAGUGAAUGAAAGGAGGCUUCCUGUACAGGCCUGAGAAAAACCGAUAGUAUUGGAAAAACAGAGAGAACAGAAGCACUUAGGCUUUGCUUUUGGCAGCAUUGGCAAUGGUUAUGGUGCUAUUGUGGCUGACUGAAAGCAGGUAUUGCCCAGUAGGAGAGAUACAGACUGCAUGGAUCCGUCCUCUGGGAUCUCCCUUUUCAAACAGGAGCUUGCUAAAUGGCAUCUUGGAACCGCACACCAUUGGGCCCGGCUUGUCUUCAAUCUCUUUGACAGAAGCUGAAAAAACCCUAUUUUUAACAGCAAGUGGGCAUUACUAAGAUUGCUGCACAGCACAGAUCCAAAGCAAACAGUCGCUAAACAGGCACAUGAUGGGAAAUGACUUGGGAUGGAAACUAUGUGAAACCAGUGUGUGUUUCAAACUAUAUAGGACAUGACUGCUUUGUAGGAGGUCUGCCUUGGACUGAGGUUUGUACAACUCCAGGACUCCAGGUAAGUAGUGUGAGAAUGGAAAGAGGCAUUCUUCAUUGCUCUUGCAUGAGGCUCUUGCAGGCUGGGAGGCAGGUGAUUGCUGAACGAGGUAUCUUUUAGAUGUGCAAAAAUGUCUCAAUGGAUUGGUAACCUGGUACGUGUUUAAGGAGUUGAUAGAAAGGACAUUGCACUGACCUGCGCUGGAAGUGGCUUGAUUCUGCAGCCAGUAAGAUGUUAUUUGGAUGCCAGUCUCGACUAAGUAUAGUGGAUUUGACUGACUUCUUGACGUGCUUACUUCGCCAUUUGUGGUUAGAGUCAAGGACAGAGGUAGAAGGACUCUGUGCAAUGCUGUGUUUGUGCAUGCUGCUUUGCAAUGAAGCUGUUUUAUGGCUAUUGCCAUAGGGAGCCCUUCCCAGACUGCUUGCAUUCCAGCUGCUAGGGAAGUCAGGACCUUUUCACAAAAGUAUUUACCAUCCACUGGAAAACAAACCCUGAUGCUGUAUUUUAUUUGUUCCAGGAAAAAAUAUGUGAAUAAUGGCUGCAUGCUAUCUGGUGUCCUAUUAAAACUGGCUUGCGUCAAUGCAAUCUUGUAAGAGAAUCACAUUUCCAGAUGUUCAAGCAGCAUAGGCACUGUUGGGGCAGCUCAGGGGUUGAAACAGGUUCAUGCAUUUUAGGUCAGCAUGUUCUUAGAACAAAACGAUAAAGCCACAUGCACGGAUCACAGAGGGCAACGUCUUCUGUUCAUUUGGUCCAUCUUCCUGUCUUUGUUCCCUACAAUGUCUUUUCUUUUCCAGUGCCUUUCUAGUCUGUCCUGUCUACCUGCCAUCUUACGGCACUAUGUUAACCAGGGCUCAAACCUGCAGUUGGUUAUACUGCAUGUAUACGUAUUUUUACCCAGAAACAAUGAGAGGCAUUGCAGUCCUGCACAGCCCUGCUCUGUAGGUCAGGAAAAUAUUGUUGGGAUUGUACUAGCUGAUAUACGAGCCAUCUUUUGGGAUCACUUCACUUGAUGAGUGCAGCCAUAUCAGGGGCUUAGAAACAAUAUUCAUCAUCUUAGGGCAGAGGAAGGGAAGAAGAUUGCAGGAAAAACACCAGACAGGCAGCAUGUGAUUACUCCAGUUGGAGUUCAGCUAGUUUGCAGUGACUUUUUCAUAGUGUCACGGCCCCUUUAGCUGCAUGAACCUUUGAGAGUUUGGUUAUGCAUCUCACAGAGAACAUGGUGCCGGAGCCAGCACUGCACUCCCUAGGGUUAUGUUGAAUCGAUGGCUUUGUAUUUGCUCAGAGUGGAAAAACAACUAGCGUUACUUCUCGCUGUAUGCCUUUGUCUGAAAUCUCCCAUCUCAGAAUUGUGCUGUCCCACGGCAGAUAUACAGCAGAGCCUGCAGAUACACACGACUCCCUUGAUUGGGCUCCUAACCUAAUGGGCUAAUAUUGACCGGGCCUUGCUCGUGGUUGCUCUGGCUUGGGCUUACCAGUCAUUUUCUUUCCCAAAGAAGCAUACGGAAAUGAUUUUAGAUCUGUUACCCAAAGCAAGCUUGUUCUCCUGUGGGAACCAUUCCACAUAGCUGGCAACAUGGUUGAUGCCAAGCAGGACCAAAGUUGGCUUGCAGCCCCGCUCUCUCAGGGACCCAACAUAAGCAUUUUGGUCCAUAGUGGAGGUCAAGUCAUUGCUCGAGUUGGGAGCCCAGUUUAUGCCUGCAACGUCACAUGCCUGUUUAUAAUGUUGCUUAUUCAUAUUGUAGUUUGGUUACUCAAAGAGUACCUCUUUUCCAUGACACGUCAAUGGACCAAUCUAUGGAAAUGGAUGUGCAAAGGGUUGUUGUAAUACUUUGCCUUCCAUCAAACGUCUUUGAGUGUUUUGUGACCGUUAAUUAAAGAAUCAUUCUGCAUCUCUCUUGAAGAUGAGUAAACUGAGGCAUGAGCCGAAUCGUUGCCAGUUCAUCUCUUCCUGUAAAUUAGGUUUUGUAACACAGUAUGCAAGAGACAUGGUUAUUUGCUGUUUUAAGAUGGGUGAAUAUGGCUUUUUCAAUACUUUAAAAUCAAUGGAAUUAAAUGAAAAACUAUUGAAAGAUAAAACCAGAAACCUACUUGUGCCCCUGCCACUGCGUGUUGCGAGCUCGUGGCUUUUCUCGAUUAUCUGGUAGAUGUGGACUGGGUGGGUGUUAGACCUGAUAACAGUUUCUGCUAGGAAACAGUUGUGUUAUUGGGGCCAUAAAUUGCUUGCACUGUCCGCACACAUCUUCAUCCAGACAAAAUGAGAAGUGAUGCAUGUUGGGGCAUGUUGGAUCCAUUGGCCAUGUUUCUUCCUUGAAGCUGAAGGUGGUUAAGGACUACCAUGUAGAAAACUCUGUCAUCUUGGCCACCGCUGGUCAUGUAUUAGGGCCACUCCACUUCAUGGGCUCUCGUAUCAAACACUCUUGCUGCUUGUAAGUACAAUUCUUUAUUGCAUGCACCGUCAGACUAUAUCCAAUCCUACCUCCUCUUCAAAAUAUCUCUGAGGUCUGCCCUUUUCUCUUUCCUGAGCAUCCAGAGCAGGGAAAACCUCCUUUUCCAUGUCCUUAUCCCCUGGUCUUCCCAAACCCACAUCACUGUUCCACCUCCAUUCCUUGCAAAAUACUGCAGUUUGAAGAAAUAAUGUUCCUGGCCUGGUGAUAUCUAGGCAGUGGACAUCUCUCUUGGCUUUAUAGAGAAGCACCUUAGUAAGUAAAGCUGCAAAAGUUGGAACUUAAGCAUUGUGGAAAUCUGGCUGCAUUCCUAGUAGUAGCUGUUUCCUGCCAUAAACACCUCCUGUUAAAGCCUGGCUGCCAUUCCAUAUAUACCAAGGAAAAGACCAGCUGCUACAGAUGUGCUUCCUAACCCUCUCAUAUGCCUUCAUGGAGUGACUCCUGUCCUUUGUUCACCAUCCUGACCCUGUUGGUUUUGUCCCCUUCCUUUUUAGUAAGUCAUAUCUGUAUUGAAAUGUCUGUUAUGGGGGCCAGAAAAAUACUCUUAGCUAUACCAAGAGAUCCCCCAACUGCUAAGUCCUGUAAAAUAAUACUGGCUUUGGGAAGCAUUGAGUGUCCUGACUGCACGCAGCAUUUUAUAAGGCUUUCCUGAAAGGCUUAUGUUAACUAAUGCUAUUACAAUCAUUUUUAUGCCACUGUAAAUGUGCCAGCACUGGACAGUAAUAGAGGGUGUGAAGAGAUCACCGGGAGGAAAGUGAAGCAGGAAGGGGUGUGAGGAAGCAGAGAGGAGAGGAGAAGUGCCAGGCCCUGGGGGAGUCUUGGGUGAACCCGGCACAGGUCACAGCAGAAAGGACAAAGCCAGCGGUAGGAAACGAAGAUCAAAGGCUCAGCAAGAGAAGAGACCUGGUGGCACCGGGGUGCGGAAGGGAUGAAGAGGCAGAAAAGGACACGGGCAGAGAUGAAAACAGAGGAGUUUGAUUUUACUGUGUUUAAAAACCCAACAAGACAUUAAGGGAUUCAGAUGGGGAAUGGGUAGAGGAUUCCCAGCAGUGUAAGGAAAGGAAUCUGGAAGUGUAUCCAGUACAUGUCUGGAGCCAAGCACGAAACCCUUGGGCAUGAAGACUUCAGAGUCCAGACCCCCAAUUUUGGUAUCUUGGUGCUCAGUCUGCCCUCCUUGCCAGGGGUGUUUGCCGGUGCUUUCCUCUGUGAGCUCGCCUUUUCCAAAUGGAGGAGACCAGCAGCCCCAUUGCGAGGUGUGUCCCCUGCCCUGCCCAUUGCAGGAUGCACCCCCUUCCUAUCCGCUACCCAUGUCUGCCCCAUGAGGAUCUGGCCCAUCUUCCCAGUCGCUUCCACUGAGCAGCAGGCGGGUGUUUGAGAGCAGUUUCAUAGGGCUGUGAGGGGAAUAUGAGAGCAUCAGAUGGGAAGUGUUAGCUAUGUUGAUGUGCAAUUAGAUCCGUGGCUGUUAGUCUUUCCCUCAUUUCAGUGUUGUGAGAGCAUGAGAAAAAUCCAGCUCGUGUACAGAGCUAACUCCAGCCUCGGGGUAACCUGGCUGAUGUUGGUGGAGUUGCCUGAGGGUUGAAUUUGGCUGCCCCCCCUGCCUGGCAGUCUCUCUUCAGCCACAAAAGGCCAUUAGACUGCUAGGAAAUUCCACCCCUGGAGCAGUAUUCCUCGGAAAAAAGACUAGAACAAUUAGUGCUUGGAAAUCCACAAGUCUUUACUAGCAGUGUGCAGCACGUGAUGAUUCAUGGCCCCUGGGAAUUGAUGUGAUCUCCUCCAGGAUGAGAUUCUGUCCUGGUAUUUCCCAAUGUGGGGAAAGCAGGAUCUGCAGCCCGGCUGAUACUCGAACUGAGGCAUCUGCACUAAUGCACGUUUGUUCCCAGCGUGGGUCCUGUAAGGCUGCCCCAUGUCUCUGUCCAAAAUCCACAUCGUACAGCUGUGCUGUAGAUGCCCUGCCAGGAGGUGAAAUGGAGCUAGCUAAGCCAUUUGCCAGGGUCCGUGUUCAAUGUAAGUGUGCUGCUCUGGCAAAGCUGCAGCAAAGGUGGUCCCGUAACACCUGCGCAACACUAUUACCUCCCCACUACUACAUGGCACUUGACUGGUGUCUGCAGAGCUAUUGGGCUUGCGUCGGCAGGAAAUCUGGGCCGCUCUCCCAUCCUGCCCCGCUGCAGAAGCUCCAGGCAAAGGGUGGGUUAGGAAGGAGAUAGGAUAACACCAUUUGAACCCCAAGGUAUAGGCUCAGCGCUGACCGUGUAUCCAGGUGGUUCAUUAAUAAUGUUUCGUAUUUAGCAAUAAAGCUGAGGCACCGUCGGUUUGGGUUGUAGUGUAGGCUGGCCCUAUAGGAGUUGUUUCUUAGAGAUGACUGGAGGGACAGAUUUACUGGGCCCCAACACAGCCACAUUUAUGAGUGUGCAUUUAGGAGUGCGGAAGAGAAGUGGUCACAGAAAAGCCUCUGCUGACUUGUGAUUAAGAAGCAGCUGCACCAAGAACACGCAACUAGGAGGAGCUCGGUUUCACUUUGGGAAGACUCUGUGAAAAACCACACAGCUUCCCAUGCCUAGUGCUGCAUGUAGUGACAUAGCACCUGAUACCGUCUACGUCCGCAGCGGCGUGGAGCCAUUAGCACCAUUUCUGUAGAAUAAAGCCGCCAUUUCCCUGAUCAGAGAAUGCGGCAGGACAAGUUUUACUUAUAGGCUCGAUCUUUGUUCCAGGCAUAGCAGGAUAUGGGAUCUGCCCCAAAGCUAUGCAAGGACGUGUCCUAAUGCACAGGGCUGGAAGGUGGCAACUGCUGAAAGCCAGUGAAAUAGCACCAAAAUGCCAUUUUAGAAAGAACCAUUUGCAGCGCAGGGAAACUUGUAGGAGUUAAAUGAGAAAAAAAAAGACCCAUGAGAGUCCACGGUGUGUGCAUAUUUGAUCCACCGCUUGUAAUCUACUCCACGCUGUGUGCAUAUUUGAUCCAUUGCUUGUAAUCUACUCCAUGGUGUGUACAUAUUUGAUCCACCGCUUGUAAUCUACUCCACGGUGUGUGCAUAUUUGAUCCACUGCUUGUAAUCUAUUCUAAUGGCACCAACCUUAAUGACACCUCUGAACUAAUGAACUUGAACUCUGAAGAUCAAACUU
This is a long non-coding RNA of Gavialis gangeticus (Gharial), 6165 nucleotides long. RefSeq lists it as uncharacterized. The record is from RefSeq and is a predicted model, not a curated record. The transcript has 2 exons. Lineage: Eukaryota; Metazoa; Chordata; Crocodylia; Gavialidae.